GAUGAAGAACGCAGCGAAAUGCGAUAAGUAAUGUGAAUUGCAGAAUUCCGUGAAUCAUCGAAUCUUUGAACGCACAUUGCGCCCGCUGGAACUCCGGCGGGCACGCCUGUCCGAGCGUCAUUUCAACCCUCAGGCCCCCCUUCGCGGGCGGGCCUGGUGUUGGGGCCCGGCCGCUACCCUGCGGCCGUCCCCUAAAUUCAGUGGCGGCCUCGCCGUGAUCCCUUGCGUAGUAAUGCACCUCGCACCGGAGAGCGCCGUGGCCACGCCGUAAAACCCCCAAUUUUCAAUGGUUGACCUCGGAUCAGGUGGGAAUACCCGCUGAACUUAAGCAUAUCAAUAAGCGGAGGA
RNAcentral lists this unclassified non-coding RNA (348 nucleotides) under soil metagenome. RNAcentral's name for it is "partial contains 5.8S ribosomal RNA, internal transcribed spacer 2, and large subunit ribosomal RNA". The stretch from base 1 to 120 matches the Rfam family "5.8S ribosomal RNA", at positions 35 to 154 of the family's 154-position model. The record is from RNAcentral.